UUUUUGCAGGAUUCAUUGAUUUCAUUGUGGAGCCAACAUUCACUGUGUUGACAGAAAUGAUUGAAAAUAUUGUGACACCACUUAUCGAGGAGACCUCUCGCUCUGAAUUGCCUGUCUUCAGACAGUACAGUUUCAACAGUAUUGGAAGUGACAGAAAGCACUCCAGCAUGAAGAGUACACGCUCAGAAGGCAGCUGCUCUCUGACCACAGUGGACUUCAAAAGUUUCAGGGGUACAUGGAAUCACAAAAUUCAUCAAAACAGGGAGAUAUGGAGGGCCCAAGCAGGAAAAGACCUGGAGGUAAAGGUCACCCAGAUGGCAGAGGAGCGUAGCCAAGAAGACAAAGAGACAAAUGGUGGAAAAGACACAAGCACAACUGUCGACGAAGCCAACAUGGGACAGGGGAAAAUGAAAAAAGAAUCCGUGGGACAAGAGGUGCAGAACAGGAGACAGCAAGAAGAAAGACAGACUAACGAUGAAAGAAACAAUAAUCAGGCUCAGUCUGCAAGCAUUCUGCUGAAAUCAGUCCCUGAUGCCAUAAAGAAGUCACCUGAUGGACACAUGGAGAAGCAGCAAUCCCAGAAUGACCCUCAAACUGUUUUCCCUCUGAUUCAUUAUCGCAAAAGACCAACCUAUUGUACCAGCUCCUACAGACUGAUCAGGGCAAAAGUCAUAGAAAUAUGGCCUAUUGAUGCCAGAACAAAAGCCAGGAGACUGCAACGCUUCUACUCGCGUCAAUGGAAAUAA
Molecule: long non-coding RNA, 746 nt
Filed under: Oreochromis niloticus (Nile tilapia)
Lineage: Eukaryota; Metazoa; Chordata; Actinopteri; Cichliformes; Cichlidae
Description: lncRNA (ENSONIG00000029770.1)
Source: RNAcentral